This 445-nucleotide ribosomal RNA is filed under the name uncultured bacterium. Its description in RNAcentral is "partial 16S ribosomal RNA". It matches the Rfam family "Bacterial small subunit ribosomal RNA", at positions 354 to 796 of the family's 1533-position model. The record is from RNAcentral.
GUGGGGAAUAUUGGGCAAUGGAUGCAAGUCUGACCCAGCCAUCCCGCGUGCCGGAAGAAGGCCCUCAGGGUUGUAAACGGCUUUUGACGGUGAAGAAUCGACAGGAUGCGUCCUGUUUUGACGGUAGCCGUUGAAUAAGCACCGGCUAACUCCGUGCCAGCAGCCGCGGUAAUACGGAGGGUGCGAGCGUUGUCCGGAUUUAUUGGGUUUAAAGGGUGCGUAGGCUGGAAGGUCAGUCAGCGGUGAAAAGCUGUCGCUUAACGAUAGUCUUGCCGCAGAUACUUCCUUUCUUGGAUGAGGAGGAGGCCACUGGAACGGAUGGUGUAGCGGUGAAAUGCAUAGAUAUCAUCCAGAACACCGAUUGCGAAGGCAGGUGGCUGUACCUUAAUCGACGCUGAUGCACGAAAGCAUGGGGAGCAAACAGGAUUAGAUACCCUUGUAGUCC